UACGGAGGGUGCGAGCGUUAAUCGGAAUUACUGGGCGUAAAGGGCGCGUAGGCGGCCGAUCAAGUCAGGUGUGAAAGCCCACGGCUUAACCGUGUGAAGUGCAUCUGAAACUGGUCGGCUUGAGUAUCGGAGAGGAAAGUGGAAUUCCCGGUGUAGAGGUGAAAUUCGUAGAUAUCGGGAGGAAUACCGGUGACGAAGGCAGCCCCCUGGGAGUAACACUGACGCUCAUGCACGAAA
Molecule: ribosomal RNA, 237 nt
Filed under: uncultured bacterium
Lineage: Bacteria
Description: partial 16S ribosomal RNA
Rfam family: Bacterial small subunit ribosomal RNA
Source: RNAcentral